UCUUUCUCUCUCUCACCCCUCCCUCACUCUUCCUCUCCCUCUAAAAGCAGUGAAAAAAUGUCCUUGGGUGAGGAUAAAAUAAAUAAAUAAAAAGCACAUGACUAAUACACAAGUUCACUGUGGGGUAGUAAAAAUACUGUUCAUAAAAGAUCUAGAAGAUGUCUUUCUCUGAACGAACACUCAGUAAAUGGUACUGAUCAUUCAGUCUGUUAUGGCCCAAGUGCUUUGCCAGGCAUUACGUAUAUAAAGGUAAGUAAACAAAAAGAUAUCACGUAAAUCCCAGUUUAUGUACUAGGAUGAGGCAAAGAAGAAAAAAGUCAAUUUGGGAAAGGAAGGAGGGGGCUGAGUUAUGCUGAAAAGGAGUUUGCCAGGCCUGAGAGGGAGGGAAGGGAAUUCUAAACAGGGGCAACAGAAAGAAUAAAGGCACGCAGUAUGCUGAAAGAGAUUAUGAGGACAUAGCAGAGAAUGCCACUCUAAAUGUCUACAGGAAACAGACAGGUAAUAUAAAUGAAGGAAACACAUGAGAUACAAUGCAGUGAAUGGCAAUAACUCUUGGCUUCAGUUGUGAGAAGACAAGAGUCCAGGAUUGCAGCAAACAGCUGAGUGCAAGGCCACUUAGAAUACUAGUGGUCCACACUACCCACUGUCACCUUCUGUCUUUAGUAGGAACUGGAUUUUAGCUAUUCACAUGGCCAUCCAGAUGGAGACCAUGCAUGCCCAGCCUUAUCUGCAGCCAAAUGCAGCCACACCAGUAGGCUCUGGCCAAUAGGAUGUGAGAUGAAAUGAUACAUGUAACUUCCAGGCUGGGUCUCGACGGAAUGCAUCCUCCCCCUCCCCUUCCUAUUACAGACUGGAGCAGACGCGAUGGUAGGAGACAAAGCAGCAUCUGGGACCACAAGACGGAACCCACUGCAGAGGCGGGAGAAGACAAGACGGAAGCAGCUGGAUCUCUGGCACUACGGAGCCGUCAUAGCUGUCCUGGGCAACGACGGCUUUGACUGUCAAAUGAGAGAAAAAUAGGUUUGCCUGGUUUAAAGCCACUUAUUUUGGUCUCUGUCACAAGAGUUGAACAUGCAUCUUGACCAACACUCUGACAUGCAUAUGGCAGCUAUUUCUCGGCUCCAGAGGAUUACUGCUACGAGGGAUUGUGGGCCCAGCGUUGUGCAUUUGCCCAAUUCUCCAAGAGAACGUGGAAACCUAGAGUUUCUCAUACUAUCUGACUUCUACAUAUUGACAACUGAUUCUGAUUUUCAGUGCCAUAUAGGCCCACAAAACCGGUCUGGGGACCAGUCGAAUUUCUGUUCCAUGGGCUUCUCUGAAACCAAGACUUUUCACUAGGACAACUAAAAUAAUUUAGGGUGGUAACAGGGAUGAGAUAUUCAGAGUCCUACAAGUUUGCGCAACUCAAGACAGUCCCCCAAACUCUCAUCACCCUCAAAUACGGUGUCCAGGGCAGCUCCGCUCCCCCAGAGAACUGCCUGCCAGCCCAAGAGUCGGCAGCUGCAACCACCAUGGAGUCUGACCUUGCCAGGUGCCUCACUGCGUGAGCCUCCCUGGGUGCCGAUGGCCUUUACCAGGGAGAACACUGACCCUUUCUUUCUUCCCUUCCCCCUCCUUUAUAAGAUCAAACAAUUUCUCAUGAGACAGGAUGGACAAGAGUAUCAUGGAAGAGUCACCCAUUUAGGCAAAAAACAAUCAAAGGUGAAAAAGGCAUCCCUUAGUUUCAUAAGUCUGGCAGCCUCACCAAACACGUUCACCCAGACAAGCAGCUCCUUGGAGGAGCUGGAGGAGUGGGAGGUGGCCUAAGAUACAGGGGAUGCAACAUCCAAUGCUCAUUUCAUGGCACCCAAUGAUGCGACAGGUGACAGAAAAACAGCCUAGUGGCAUCGGCACUGUGCAGAGCCCCAGUUUAAACUCGCUUCUAAACAGCAAGAACCUGUGGGAUGUGACCUCAGCAAAGCCCAUUUUGCACCCCUGGAAUUCAGGAGAAAGGUCUGUACAAAAGUCCAUAGUUAGGCAAUGUCCUCUGGCAAUAUCCUCAUUGCUAGCAGGGCAGCAACUCCAGCAAGGCGUUGGCUCACACAGGUUCGAACCACGUGCUAUCAUCACAAGACGAUGUAAAGAUAGGAGAAAUGCCACGGCAUGACUGUUGCACAAGCAGCACAGUGAGCAGAAUAAACACAAUCACCUUGGAGAAAAAGGCGUUCCUAUCUUCCACAUCAUCUGCCAUCUGAGGGGUUGGUCCUUAGUUCCGCGUGGAGCCUCGGUUCUCCGGGACCCUCCCUGGGUUAAGACAUCCAGGUUUGAAGGUAGGAGCUGCAGAGUUUCUCUCCGCACAGAGGGAGAAGGACGUGGGGGUGAAGAGCAUGAGUCAUCCAAGAGGGAAGGUGACAAAGCAAAUCAAGGUGGGGAGGAGGACAGUGUGGGAGGUCUGCUUGCGCUCACCAGGAACCUCUGCCCCCAUCACUGGUCAGUACCUAAAACCAACCCAACACUUGGGCAGGUUGGCUUAUUUUGGGCACUGGAGAUGGGCAGGAGCAAAGGGUAGAGGAGAUGGGUGAGAAGACCAAGAAUGCUGGCUCUCUGCAAAGUAAUGGAGAUAAAUGGGAGGCCUUUCGGCUCCUCAAACAGAGAUGCUGAUAUGCUGGGCGAUACGGCUAAUACUCUCAAGGGGCAGGGAGGCCCCUAGGACACCUGGGUAAGACCACCUUCCCCCAAACAAGAGUUAGGGCUUCUUACCGUGCCACUGUGGUAAACGAUUUACGUGAAUUUGUAUUUAAUUUUUCAAUAACCUCAAGAUGUGGAUAUAUUUUACAGACAGCUUUAAAAGGUUAAACGUUGUUUGCCAUCAGAAAGCUAACAGUAGCCAGGGCAAGACCUGUUUGGCUACAAAUUCUGUCAUUUUAGCUCAGAAGUGUGCCCAUAUUUAGCUUUCGGAAAGGGGAUUCAGGUUAGAUUCACGAAGCACAAGCCAUGCCAACACCCGGUGCCUCUGGAUACGCCACGCUGCUAAAGCCCUCGCUUCAGCAGUAUUCCUGACAACGGCGUAACUGAAUCUACUCAGGAGGGAACAUCGGGCAAGCCCAAUGUGUGGAGCAUCCCGCAAAACACCUCCCCUGGAUUCUUCAAAACUGUCAGGGUCCUGAAAGACAAAGGAAGACGGAGGAGCUGUCCCAGGUUAAAGGACACGAAAGAGACAUGACAACUAGACACAAUGUGUGACCCUGGGACUACAUCUCA
Long non-coding RNA from Phyllostomus discolor (pale spear-nosed bat), 3240 nucleotides. RefSeq lists it as uncharacterized. NCBI's taxonomy places the organism in Eukaryota, Metazoa, Chordata, Mammalia, Chiroptera, Phyllostomidae. The record is from RefSeq and is a predicted model, not a curated record. The transcript has 2 exons.